AGAGUUUGAUCCUGGCUCAGAUUGAACGCUGGCGGCAUGCCUUACACAUGCAAGUCGAACGGCAGCACGGGGGCAACCCUGGUGGCGAGUGGCGAACGGGUGAGUAAUACAUCGGAACGUGUCCUGUAGUGGGGGAUAGCCCGGCGAAAGCCGGAUUAAUACCGCAUACGCUUUACGGAGGAAAGGGGGGGAUUUUAGGACCUCCCGCCACAGGGGCGGCCGAUGGCAGAUUAGCUAGUUGGUGGGGUAAAGGCCUACCAAGGCGACGAUCUGUAGCUGGUUUGAGAGGACGACCAGCCACACUGGGACUGAGACACGGCCCAGACUCCUACGGGAGGCAGCAGUGGGGAAUUUUGGACAAUGGGGGCAACCCUGAUCCAGCAAUGCCGCGUGUGUGAAGAAGGCCUUCGGGUUGUAAAGCACUUUUGUCCGGAAAGAAAACGCCGUGGUUAAUACCCGUGGCGGAUGACGGUACCGAAGAAUAA
RNAcentral lists this ribosomal RNA (485 nucleotides) under uncultured organism. RNAcentral describes it as "bacterial SSU rRNA". It matches the Rfam family "Bacterial small subunit ribosomal RNA", at positions 8 to 488 of the family's 1533-position model. The record is from RNAcentral.